UGGCCUGUCAGGCAGUGACAGAGCCUCUCAAGAGAAAACAGGCAGAAAAACUUGGAGACAGGCCUUCAUAAAGUAUUCCAGCACCUCUUGGAAGACUUAGUGACAAGGAACGUUCUUUCCCUUAGCUAAUCACCUUUAAAUCCUAUUGCAAAGCAUUCAUUACAAGACUGGCAUGAACAGCACAAGGCUGAAUAAAGGAUAGACAGAAUCUGAAUAUCUUGCCUUUUGCAAGGAGGAAACAGGCACCUGGCUCCUAGCUUUCACUUAUCAAACACCUCUGAAACAAUCCAUGUUCAUUUAUUCUUUCCUCAUUAAAGCAUCUGCUGGGAGCUGCCUGCACAUUGUCAACCAUCGAGAGUCAAAAUCCAUGGAAGCCAAUAGCCAGGCUCCUGCCAACAGUACCAAGCUUUGGACCAGACCCACCCUUUCCCCAGAAUGCGCAAAAACAGAAGCCAGGAAAUGAAGUCAGAACAAAGCAGAAAGAUGAGCUGCUCAGAAGCAGCUAUCCUGUGCUUGCUAUGUUCUCCUCAUACCCAUAAAAGCAAGACUAACAAAGGUGAUGUAGUGUGUCUUAUGAAGCCCUACCAAAAAGGGGAAAAAGGAACCCAGAGAACUUUUUAAAGGAAAAAAAACAUACGUCUUUUUGGAUACUGCACACUCAGAGCCUUAAUUAGUGACAGGGCUGCAGCAUACCGACUGCUAACAGUGAGACUUCAACUUGCAACACCAGCUCACACAUGAAUUUAGGCAUUUACACUCUAUACUAAGAGUAACUGCACUAAUCACAAUACCAUAGAUCACUGCAAAACACUCCACUCACUAAGCACCAACUUUUGUGCCCAGAAAUUUAAUCUCUUGAUCAAAGUCAUCACGUAACAGCCCUGUGAUGCCAGACCAAAGAUCCCUCCUAAAUACUUGUUUCUGACAGUGGCCAAGAGAAGAUGCAUAACGAAGAAGGUAAGAACAGUGUACUUAGUGUGCCGCUAUUUCCUUGGAAUAACCUUUGCAUUUCCAGGAAUUUACUUAAUUGUUUACAUAACCCAAAUAAACCUUUGACAUCCGCAACAUCCAAUGGCAAUGAGAGUCUCACUUUAAUCACGUGUGAGAAGGCAGCUCUUUUUCUCCCCUUCAGAACCUGUCAUCUGAUAGUUUCAUUCAAUUCAGCACCGUUAAAUCAGUUAAUGUUUGUGCAGAAUCAGAGAUAUUCUUAUCACUUUUGUUCAUUCUGUAGGAAUUCACUUUGAACAGUCACACAUCCUGGAGUACCUCAUCA
Long non-coding RNA from Pezoporus occidentalis (night parrot), 1273 nucleotides. RefSeq lists it as uncharacterized. NCBI's taxonomy places the organism in Eukaryota, Metazoa, Chordata, Aves, Psittaciformes, Psittacidae. The transcript has 3 exons. The record is from RefSeq and is a predicted model, not a curated record.